CACACUGGACUGAGACACGGUCCAGACUCCUACGGGAGGCAGCAGUGGGGAAUAUAGCACAAUGGGCGCAAGCCUGAUGCAGCCAUGCCGCGUGUAUGAAGAAGGCCUUCGGGUUGUAAAGUACUUUCAGCAGUGAGGAAGGUGUUGUCGUUAAUAGCGGCCUCAUUUGACGUUAGCUGCAGAAGAAGCACCGGCUAACUCCGUGCCAGCAGCCGCGGUAAUACGGAGGGUGCGAGCGUUAAUCGGAAUUACUGGGCGUAAAGCGCAUGCAGGUGGUUUGUUAAGUCAGAUGUGAAAGCCCGGGGCUCAACCUCGGAAUUGCAUUUGAAACUGGCAGACUAGAGUACUGUAGAGGGGGGUAGAAUUUCAGGUGUAGCGGUGAAAUGCGUAGAGAUCUUUUGGAAUACCGGUGGCGAAGGCGGCCCCCUGGACAGAUACUGACACUCAGAUGCGAAAGCGUGGGGAGCAAACAGGAUUAGAUACCCUGGUAGUCCACGCCGUAAACGAUGUCUACUUGGAGGUUGUGGCCUUGAGCCGUGGCUUUCGGAGCUAACGCGUUAAGUAGACCGCCUGGGGAGUACGGUCGCAAGAUUAAAACUCAAAUGAAUUGACGGGGGCCCGCACAAGCGGUGGAGCAUGUGGUUUAAUUCGAUGCAACGCGAAGAACCUUACCUACUCUUGACAUCCUCAGAAGAGACUG
This 700-nucleotide ribosomal RNA is filed under the name Vibrio sp. a152. Its description in RNAcentral is "bacterial SSU rRNA". It matches the Rfam family "Bacterial small subunit ribosomal RNA", at positions 309 to 1002 of the family's 1533-position model. The record is from RNAcentral. Lineage: Bacteria; Pseudomonadati; Pseudomonadota; Gammaproteobacteria; Vibrionales; Vibrionaceae.